GAUGAACGCUGGCGGCGUGCCUAAUACAUGCAAGUCGAGCGAACAGACGAGAGUGCUUGCACUCUCUGACGUUAGCGGCGGACGGGUGAGUAACACGUGGGUAACCUACCUAUAAGACUGGGAUAACUUCGGGAAACCGGAGCUAAUACCGGAUAAUAUUUAGCUUCGCAUGAAGCAAUAGUGAAAGACGGUUCUGCUGUCACUUAUAGAUGGACCCGCGGUGUAUUAGCUAGUUGGUGAGGUAACGGCUCACCAAGGCAACGAUACAUAGCCGACCUGAGAGGGUGAUCGGCCACACUGGGACUGAGACACGGACCAGACUCCUACGGGAGGCAGCAGUAGGGAAUCUUCCGCAAUGGACGAAAGUCUGACGGAGCAAUGCCGCGUGAGUGAAGAAGGUUUUCGGAUCGUAAAACUCUGUUGUAAGGGAAGAACAAGUACGUUAGUAACUGAACGUACCUUGAUGGUACCUUACCAGAAAGCCACGGCUAACUACGUG
Molecule: ribosomal RNA, 499 nt
Filed under: uncultured bacterium
Lineage: Bacteria
Description: partial 16S ribosomal RNA
Rfam family: Bacterial small subunit ribosomal RNA
Source: RNAcentral